GAUGAACGCUGGCGGCGUGCCUAAUACAUGCAAGUCGAGCGAACGGACGAGAAGCUUGCUUCUCUGAUGUUAGCGGCGGACGGGUGAGUAACACGUGGAUAACCUACCUAUAAGACUGGGAUAACUUCGGGAAACCGGAGCUAAUACCGGAUGAUAUUUUGAACCGCAUGGUUCAAAAGUGAAAGACGGUCUUGCUGUCACUUAUAGAUGGAUCCGCGCUGCAUUAGCUAGUUGGUAAGGUAAUGGCUUACCAAGGCAACGAUGCAUAGCCGACCUGAGAGGGUGAUCGGCCACACUGGAACUGAGACACGGUCCAGAAGCCUACGGGAGGCAGCAGUAGGGAAUCUUCCGCAAAGGGCGAAAGCCUGACGGAGCAACGCCGCGUGAGUGAUGAAGGUCUUCGGAUCGUAAAACUCUGUUAUUAGGGAAGAACAUAUGUGUAAGUAACUGUGCACAUCUUGACGGUACCUAAUCAGAAAGCCACGGCUAACUACGUG
RNAcentral lists this ribosomal RNA (497 nucleotides) under uncultured bacterium. RNAcentral's name for it is "partial 16S ribosomal RNA". It matches the Rfam family "Bacterial small subunit ribosomal RNA", at positions 28 to 507 of the family's 1533-position model. The record is from RNAcentral.